GACAGAGGUGCCGAGCGUGAGGCGGAAUCACUGGGCUUAAAGCGUGUGUAGGCGGGCCGUUAAGUGUCUUGUGAAAUCCCCCGGCUCAACCGGGGAAUUGCUGGGCAUACUGGCGGUCUUGAGCAAUCUAGGGGCAGAUGGAACAAGUGGUGGAGCGGUGAAAUGCGUAGAUAUCACUUGGAACGCCAACGGUGAAGACAGUCUGCUGGGGAUUUGCUGACGCUGAGACACGAAAGCCAGGGGAGCGAACGGG
This 253-nucleotide ribosomal RNA is filed under the name uncultured bacterium. RNAcentral's name for it is "partial 16S ribosomal RNA". It matches the Rfam family "Bacterial small subunit ribosomal RNA", at positions 524 to 776 of the family's 1533-position model. The record is from RNAcentral.